RNAcentral lists this transfer RNA (68 nucleotides) under Cuculus canorus (common cuckoo). Its description in RNAcentral is "tRNA-Phe". RNAcentral also lists the same sequence under 1 other name. Lineage: Eukaryota; Metazoa; Chordata; Aves; Cuculiformes; Cuculidae. The record is from RNAcentral.
GUCCUCGUAGCUUAAACAAAGCAUGGCACUGAAGAUGCCAAGACGGCUAGCCACACUACCCGAGGACA